Molecule: unclassified non-coding RNA, 211 nt
Filed under: plant metagenome
Description: partial contains small subunit ribosomal RNA, internal transcribed spacer 1, and 5.8S ribosomal RNA
Source: RNAcentral
UUUCCGUAGGUGAACCUGCGGAAGGAUCAUUCAUAAUAAAGUGCUUUAUGGCACUUUUUAAAAAUCCAUAUCCACCUUGUGUGCAAUGUUAGAUCUCGUCAAUCUUGGCGAGAUUUUUAUACAUCAACUCAUUCUUUAACUAAUUUGUCUGAAAAAUAUUAUGAAUACUCAAUUCAAAAUACAACUUUCAACAACGGAUCUCUUGGCUCUC